RNAcentral lists this ribosomal RNA (585 nucleotides) under Ilyonectria destructans. RNAcentral's name for it is "eukaryotic LSU rRNA". The stretch from base 185 to 338 matches the Rfam family "5.8S ribosomal RNA". Lineage: Eukaryota; Fungi; Ascomycota; Sordariomycetes; Hypocreales; Nectriaceae. The record is from RNAcentral.
CGGCCGAAUCGCCCUUCCGUAGGGUGACCUGCGGAGGGAUCAUUACCGAGUUUACAACUCCCAAACCCCUGUGAACAUACCUAUUUGUUGCCUCGGCGGUGCCUGUUCCGACAGCCCGCCWKAGGACCCCAAACCCUGAUUACAUUUAAGAAGUCUUCUGAGUAAACCGUAUUAAAUAAAUCAAAACUUUCAACAACGGAUCUCUUGGUUCUGGCAUCGAUGAAGAACGCAGCGAAAUGCGRUAAGUAAUGUGAAUUGCAGAAUUCRGUGAAUCAUCGAAUCUUUGAACGCACAUUGCGCCCGCUAGUAUUCUGGCGGGCAUGCCUGUCCGAGCGUCMUUUCAACCCUCAAGCCCCCGGGCUUGGUGUUGGGGAUCGGCGAGACCUCCGCGCCCGCCGUCCCCUAAAUUCUAGUGGCUGGUCUCGCUGUAGCUUCCUCUGCGGUAGUAGCACACCUSGCACUGGGAAACAGCGCGGCCACGCCGUCUAGACCCCCAACUUCUGAACGUUUGACCUCGGAUCAGGAAGGAAUACCCGCAUGAACUUAACCAUACCAAUAAGCGGAGGAACUUGGUUCUUUUUUUUA